Molecule: transfer RNA, 75 nt
Filed under: Candidatus Woesearchaeota archaeon
Lineage: Archaea; Nanobdellati; Candidatus Woesearchaeota
Description: tRNA-Arg
Rfam family: tRNA
About the family: Transfer RNA (tRNA) molecules are approximately 80 nucleotides in length. Their secondary structure includes four short double-helical elements and three loops (D, anti-codon, and T loops).
Source: RNAcentral
GGGCCUGUAGCUUAGCCUGGAUCAAGCGCUUGCCUUCUAAGCAAGAGAACGAGGGUUCAAAUCCCUCCAGGCCCG